This 343-nucleotide unclassified non-coding RNA is filed under the name soil metagenome. RNAcentral describes it as "partial contains 5.8S ribosomal RNA, internal transcribed spacer 2, and large subunit ribosomal RNA". The stretch from base 1 to 120 matches the Rfam family "5.8S ribosomal RNA", at positions 35 to 154 of the family's 154-position model. The record is from RNAcentral.
GAUGAAGAACGCAGCGAAACGCGAUAGGUAAUGUGAAUUGCAGAAUUCCGUGAAUCAUCGAAUCUUUGAACGCACAUUGCGCCCGCCAGCAUUCUGGCGGGCAUGCCUGUUCGAGCGUCAUUUCAACCCUCGAGCCCCCCCGGGGGCCUCGGUGUUGGGGGACGGCACACCAGCCGCCCCCGAAAUGCAGUGGCGACCCCGCCGCAGCCUCCCUUGCGUAGUAGCACACACCUCGCACCGGAGCGCGGAGGCGGUCACGCCGUAAAACGCCCAACUUUCUUAGAGUUGACCUCGGAUCAGGUAGGAAUACCCGCUGAACUUAAGCAUAUCAAUAAGCGGAGGA